GAUAAACGCUGACAGAAUGCUUAACACAUGCAAGUCGAUGAUGGGAGCUAGCUUGCUAGAAGAAGUCAUGGCGGACGGGUGAGUAACGUGUAAAGAACUUACCAUAUAGACUGGGAUAACAGAGGGAAACUUCUGAUAAUACUGGAUAAGUUAGUAGUAGCAUUACUAAGUAAUGAAAGGUAGCAAUACGCUAUAUGAGAGCUUUGCAUCCUAUUAGCUAGUUGGUGGGGUAAAAGCCUACCAAGGCGAUGAUAGGUAGCCGGCCUGGGAGGGUGGACAGCCACAAGGGGACUGAGAUACGGCCCUUACUCCUACGGGAGGCAGCAGUGGGGAAUAUUGGACAAUGGAGGCAACUCUGAUCCAGCAAUUCUGUGUGUGUGAAGAAGGUUUUAGGACUGUAAAACACUUUUAGUAGGGAAGAAAGAAAUGACGGUACCUACAGAAGAAGCGACGGCUAAAUACGUG
Molecule: ribosomal RNA, 465 nt
Filed under: uncultured bacterium
Lineage: Bacteria
Description: partial 16S ribosomal RNA
Rfam family: Bacterial small subunit ribosomal RNA
Source: RNAcentral